UGACACAGGGAGGUAGUGACAAUAAAUAACAAUGCCGGGCUUUUUCAAGUCUGGCAAUUGGAAUGAGAACAAUUUAAAUCCCUUAUCGAGGAUCAAUUGGAGGGCAAGUCUGGUGCCAGCAGCCGCGGUAAUUCCAGCUCCAAUAGCGUAUACUAAAGUUGUUGCAGUUAAAAAGCUCGUAGUUGAAUUUCUGGUCUGGGACAGUGGUCUGCCUCGAACGAGGUACGCACCUUUUGUCUGAGUCCAUCCUCGGAGAGAACGUGUCUGUCAUUCAAUUGAUGGGCUCGGAAUCUUCGUCAUUUACUGUGAGCAAAAUAGAGUGUUCAAAGCAGGCUUAUGCCGAUGAAUACACUAGCAUGGAAUAAUAAGAUAGGACCUUGGUCUAUUUUGUUGGUUUGCGUGUUAAGAUAAUGAUGAAUAGGGACAGUUGGGGGUAUUUGUAUUCCAUAGUCAGAGGUGAAAUUCUUGGAUUUAUGGAAGACAAACUAAUGCGAAAGCAUCUACCAAGGAUGUUUUCAUUAAUCAAGAACGAAAGUGUGGGGAUCGAAGAUGAUUAGAUACCAUCGUAGUCUACACCAUAAACUAUGCCGACUCAGGAUUAUCAGGUGACAAUUUGUUCUUGGUAGCACUGUGUGAGAAAUCAAAGUCUUUGGGUUCCGGGGGGAGUAUGGUCGCAAGGCUGAAACUUAAAGAAAUUGACGGAAGGGCACCACCAGGAGUGGAACCUG
Molecule: ribosomal RNA, 728 nt
Filed under: uncultured marine eukaryote
Lineage: Eukaryota
Description: bacterial SSU rRNA
Rfam family: Eukaryotic small subunit ribosomal RNA
Source: RNAcentral